Molecule: small RNA, 175 nt
Filed under: Chelonoidis abingdonii (Abingdon island giant tortoise)
Lineage: Eukaryota; Metazoa; Chordata; Testudines; Testudinidae
Description: TUC338 (ENSCABG00000012287.1)
Source: RNAcentral
UGAGAACCUCAGAGACUGAAGUUCUUUAUUUAUCCACUGGAGAGGUACAGCAUGGUCAGCAAUAGUGCAAGUUUGUCUGUACUGCCUCUCUCCAAUGUGCUUGAAACCUGACCCUGACGACGGAUCAUUUCUAUGGGUGUGGACAGUCCAGCUUGGCCUCUCAAGGGAGAUUGCU